This is a non-coding RNA of Ceratotherium simum simum (southern white rhinoceros), 91 nucleotides long. NCBI's taxonomy places the organism in Eukaryota, Metazoa, Chordata, Mammalia, Perissodactyla, Rhinocerotidae. The record is from RefSeq and is a predicted model, not a curated record.
GCAUGUGGGUCACAACCACAGCAUGGCUUGAUGAGUGGUGUCAUGUCUGUGCCUGGAAUUCGAACCGGUGAAACCUGGCCACUGAAAUAGA